This 73-nucleotide transfer RNA is filed under the name Camelus ferus (Wild Bactrian camel). It matches the Rfam family "tRNA". From Rfam's summary of the family: Transfer RNA (tRNA) molecules are approximately 80 nucleotides in length. Lineage: Eukaryota; Metazoa; Chordata; Mammalia; Artiodactyla; Camelidae. The record is from Rfam by way of RNAcentral.
GAAGAUAUAGCUUAACUGGUAGAGCGCAUGGCUAGCAUGCACAAGGUCCUGGGUUCAAUCCCCAGUACCUCCU